This 506-nucleotide unclassified non-coding RNA is filed under the name Leishmania donovani. RNAcentral's name for it is "gene:unknown". The record is from RNAcentral. Lineage: Eukaryota; Euglenozoa; Kinetoplastea; Trypanosomatida; Trypanosomatidae.
CUAUUGACGCGUCGCAUUGCACACCGACCCUUGUUCUCCCCUCCUCCACGCGUGCUUAGUCGUCUUGCGCGUGGCGGCGGCACCGAUCCUUUGCGCCCGCGGCGCGCCGUGCGUGCAGGAAACACAAACGCAAGCACAGUGCUCUGCUUGCCCGCCACACACCUGUGCAGGUACCUUCCCCCCCUUGAUGGACACGCUGCACGCAUUUUCUGAGCAGCAUACCGAGCGCUCCUGUUUUUUUUUUCUGUUGGUAGCUUGUUUUACCUGCUCGCUGUCUGUGGCUGGCCUGGCUGUUGGCUACUCUGCAUGAGCGAAAGCCCGGCGAAGAGCGGCGUAUGCGAGCGCGUGUGUGUCGUGGACACUUCAACGUCACCCUGACUCACUUCCGGCGUUGCUCUGCGUGACCCACACUUUCAACGGUCCCGUCCUCUCUCCAAUCGCUACUUUCCUCCCUCCCAUUCGUCUCAUCGUACACACGGGCGAUUGUGCCGCCGUUGCCGUUGAAG